This 827-nucleotide ribosomal RNA is filed under the name uncultured Staphylococcus sp. RNAcentral's name for it is "SSU rRNA". It matches the Rfam family "Bacterial small subunit ribosomal RNA", at positions 64 to 872 of the family's 1533-position model. Lineage: Bacteria; Bacillati; Bacillota; Bacilli; Caryophanales; Staphylococcaceae. The record is from RNAcentral.
GAGCGAACAGACGAGGAGCUUGCUCCUCUGACGUUAGCGGCGGACGGGUGAGUAACACGUGGAUAACCUACCUAUAAGACUGGGAUAACUUCGGGAAACCGGAGCUAAUACCGGAUAAUAUAUUGAACCGCAUGGUUCAAUAGUGAAAGACGGUUUUGCUGUCACUUAUAGAUGGAUCCGCGCCGCAUUAGCUAGUUGGUAAGGUAACGGCUUACCAAGGCAACGAUGCGUAGCCGACCUGAGAGGGUGAUCGGCCACACUGGAACUGAGACACGGUCCAGACUCCUACGGGAGGCAGCAGUAGGGAAUCUUCCGCAAUGGGCGAAAGCCUGACGGAGCAACGCCGCGUGAGUGAUGAAGGCCUUCGGAUCGUAAAACUCUGUUAUUAGGGAAGAACAAAUGUGUAAGUAACUAUGCACGUCUUGACGGUACCUAAUCAGAAAGCCACGGCUAACUACGUGCCAGCAGCCGCGGUAAUACGUAGGUGGCAAGCGUUAUCCGGAAUUAUUGGGCGUAAAGCGCGCGUAGGCGGUUUUUUAAGUCUGAUGUGAAAGCCCACGGCUCAACCGUGGAGGGUCAUUGGAAACUGGAAAACUUGAGUGCAGAAGAGGAAAGUGGAAUUCCAUGUGUAGCGGUGAAAUGCGCAGAGAUAUGGAGGAACACCAGUGGCGAAGGCGACUUUCUGGUCUGUAACUGACGCUGAUGUGCGAAAGCGUGGGGAUCAAACAGGAUUAGAUACCCUGGUAGUCCACGCCGUAAACGAUGAGUGCUAAGUGUUAGGGGGUUUCCGCCCCUUAGUGCUGCAGCUAACGCAUUAAGCACUCCGC